This 985-nucleotide ribosomal RNA is filed under the name Idiomarina sp. CPA-112. RNAcentral describes it as "bacterial SSU rRNA". It matches the Rfam family "Bacterial small subunit ribosomal RNA", at positions 56 to 1032 of the family's 1533-position model. Lineage: Bacteria; Pseudomonadati; Pseudomonadota; Gammaproteobacteria; Alteromonadales; Idiomarinaceae. The record is from RNAcentral.
UGCAAGUCGAGCGGUAACAUGUCUAGCUUGCUAGACGAUGACGAGCGGCGGACGGGUGAGUACUACUUGGGGAUCUGCCUGAUGGCGGGGGACAACCACUGGAAACGGUGGCUAAUACCGCAUAAUACCUACGGGUCAAAGUGUGGGACCUUCGGGCCACAUGCCAUCAGAUGAACCCAAGCGAGAUUAGCUAGUUGGUGAGGUAAUGGCUCACCAAGGCGACGAUCUCUAGCUGGUCUGAGAGGAUGAUCAGCCACACUGGGACUGAGACACGGCCCAGACUCCUACGGGAGGCAGCAGUGGGGAAUAUUGGACAAUGGGGGCAACCCUGAUCCAGCCAUGCCGCGUGUGUGAAGAAGGCCUUCGGGUUGUAAAGCACUUUCAGUGGUGAGGAAGGGGGUGUUGUUAAUAGCAGCAUCCAUUGACGUUAGCCACAGAAGAAGCACCGGCUAACUCCGUGCCAGCAGCCGCGGUAAUACGGAGGGUGCGAGCGUUAAUCGGAAUUACUGGGCGUAAAGGGCUCGUAGGCGGUUUGUUAAGCAAGAUGUGAAAGCCCAGGGCUCAACCUUGGAAUUGCAUUUUGAACUGGCAAGCUAGAGUUUUGAAGAGGGUGGUAGAAUUUCCAGUGUAGCGGUGAAAUGCGUAGAUAUUGGAAGGAAUACCAGUGGCGAAGGCGGCCACCUGGUCAAAAACUGACGCUGAGGAGCGAAAGCGUGGGGAGCAAACAGGAUUAGAUACCCUGGUAGUCCACGCCGUAAACGAUGUCAACUAGUUGUUCGUGUCUUUAAGACGUGAGUAACGCAGCUAACGCACUAAGUUGACCGCCUGGGGAGUACGGCCGCAAGGUUAAAACUCAAAUGAAUUGACGGGGGCCCGCACAAGCGGUGGAGCAUGUGGUUUAAUUCGAUGCAACGCGAAGAACCUUACCAUCCCUUGACAUCCAGAGAAUCUUCCAGAGAUGGAGGAUUGCCUUCGGGAACUCUGA